UGGGGAAUAUUGCACAAUGGGCGCAAGCCUGAUGCAGCGACGCCGCGUGAGGGAUGACGGCCUUCGGGUUGUAAACCUCUUUCAAUAGGGACGAAGCGCAAGUGACGGUACCUAUAGAAGAAGGACCGGCCAACUACGUGCCAGCAGCCGCGGUAAUACGUAGGGUCCGAGCGUUGUCCGGAAUUACUGGGCGUAAAGAGCUCGUAGGUGGUUUGUCGCGUUGUUCGUGAAAACUCACAGCUUAACUGUGGGCGUGCGGGCGAUACGGGCAGACUAGAGUACUGCAGGGGAGACUGGAAUUCCUGGUGUAGCGGUGGAAUGCGCAGAUAUCAGGAGGAACACCGGUGGCGAAGGCGGGUCUCUGGGCAGUAACUGACGCUGAGGAGCGAAAGCGUGGGGAGCGAACAGGAUUAGAUACCCUGGUAGUCCACGCCGUAAACGGUGGGUACUAGGUGUGGGUUUCCUUCCUUGGGAUCCGUGCCGUAGCUAACGCAUUAAGUACCCCGCCUGGGGAGUACGGCCGCAAGGCUAAAACUUAAAUGAAUUGACGGGGUCAUAGCUG
This 562-nucleotide ribosomal RNA is filed under the name uncultured bacterium. RNAcentral's name for it is "partial 16S ribosomal RNA". It matches the Rfam family "Bacterial small subunit ribosomal RNA", at positions 355 to 932 of the family's 1533-position model. The record is from RNAcentral.